Molecule: small RNA, 510 nt
Filed under: Pan troglodytes (chimpanzee)
Lineage: Eukaryota; Metazoa; Chordata; Mammalia; Primates; Hominidae
Description: processed transcript
Source: RNAcentral
UGGUCGGCGGCUGCUGGGCUGCGCGCCGGGGUCCAAGUCCCACGAAGCCCCGGUCCGAGCCGCCGGAUGCCCGCGCGCAGCGGGGCCCAGUUUUCCCGAAGGAUGGGGCAAAAGAAGCAGCGACCAGCUAGAGCAGGGCAGCCACACCGCUCGUCCGACGCAGCCCAGGCACCUGCAGAGCAGCCACACCGCUCGUCCGACGCAGCCCAGGCACCUUGCCCCAGGGAGCGCUGCUUGGGACCGCCCACCACUGCGGGCCCAUACCGCAGCAUCUAUUUCUCAAGCCCAAAGGGCCACCUUACCCGACUGGGGUUGGAGUUUUUCGACCAGCCGGCAGUCCCCCUGGCCCGGGCAUUUCUGGGACAGGUAAUGUGAACAUAGCAGCGAGGGCCCUCCUGAAGUGCCUGUCACUGCAGUUGUCCCUGAACCCCUGUCCGCUGCCUGCUGGAUUGGCCCUCGGUUAGUCCUCCUUGUCCUCAUGCAUUUAGCGGCUUUGCUCACACUGGUCCC